Molecule: ribosomal RNA, 292 nt
Filed under: uncultured bacterium
Lineage: Bacteria
Description: partial 16S ribosomal RNA
Rfam family: Bacterial small subunit ribosomal RNA
Source: RNAcentral
UCGCCUAUGGGGGGCAGCAGUGGGGAAUAUUGGGCAAUGGGCGCAAGCCUGACCCAGCAACGCCGCGUGAAGGAAGAAGGCUCUCGGGUUGUAAACUUCUUUUGUCAGGGACGAAGGAAGUGACGGUACCUGAUGAAUAAGCCACGGCUAACUACGUGCCAGCAGCCGCGGUAAUACGUAGGUGGCAAGCGUUAUCCGGAUUUACUGGGUGUAAAGGGCGUGUAGGCGGGACUGCAAGUCAGAUGUGAAAUUCCAGGGGUCAACCCUGGAACUGCAUUUGAAACUGUAGGUC